Molecule: long non-coding RNA, 280 nt
Organism: Diuraphis noxia (Russian wheat aphid)
Lineage: Eukaryota; Metazoa; Arthropoda; Insecta; Hemiptera; Aphididae
Source: RefSeq, a predicted model, not a curated record
UUUACAAUAUCCUAGAGAAGUUUUCGAAUAUUGUGAUCAUUAUAGGCUGGAUUUGGAUUGGUUAUGUUAGGUUACCUAACCUAACCUUGUCUAGUGAUGUUGAUUAGAUUAUAAAGGUAAAAAAUACCAGUACAAGGCAUAGAUUUUCAGGUAAAGUUCAACCUCAUCGUAAUUUUGUUUUAAUUCAAUUGUAUUGAUAUAACACGUCAUAUAAAUAAGUUGGUAAAUUAUAUUGUUACACACCUUAACUUUAAAGAAUUAUCUAAAUGCAUUUACCUAU